UCGAUCAGAUGACGGAGUUAGGUCUGUCACCAGAUCGCAUAUUUUACACGACGAUUCUGGAGCAUUUUUGUAAAUUCGGAAAUCUCGACAAGGCUUAUGGUGUUUUCAACGACAUGAUUGAGCACGGAAUCACACCCGAUGUGAUUUCUUUUAACGCCCUGAUAAGUGGCCUCUGCAGGUAUUGUAGAGUGACUGAAGCAAUGAAGUUGUUCGAGGACAUGCAGAGUAAAGACUUUCGAGUUCAUUAUUGGAGGACUCAUACUUGAGAAUAAAUUAUCCGCAGCCUACAAGAUUUGGGAUCAGAUGAUGGAUAAAGGAUUCACCCUUGAUAGAGAUGUGUCUGAUACACUUAUAAAGGCUAGCUGUUCUGUGAGUGCUGAUGCUUAGGCGUAAUAAGGGUAUAAACCUUUAAAAUUGUCAAACUUGCCUUCUCCUGUGCAAAAAUGCCGUCGUUGUCAAAAGUAUGGCGGCAUGGAGAUGCUGAUAUGAUGAUACAGAGCCAUUUAAGCCUCUAUUGAUACCUGCUGCUGCUUGGAGAAAAACAAAAGACUUAUCAGCUGACUUGAGUUGACAUUAAUACUCCUGAAGGGUCAUCAUUUAUAGUCGAUGAGUCUACCUCCAGUGAUGAGAGUCCAGGGCUAGACCUGCCUGAUGGCCUGUUGCAUUUUAGAAAUAAUCUUCUUGAGCUCUUGGUAGAUAUUUGUCAGCUACUUCAUCCUACAACAUUUGUGAGUAAGUUGUUUUUUGGUGGCCUGCCUUCUUCAAAUAUUUCGAUGUCCUUGAGGGAGAUUGAGGCGAAGUUGUUUGCUCUUAAUGCGGUUUCUGAAAUUAUCUUGCAAGAGGGAGAGGCUUUUGAUUUUUCAUUGAUCAUGCAAUUGGUUUCUGCAUUCUCUGACAGGCCAUCCAGUGAGCUCAAGGGGUUUAUGUGUUGUAUAUAGAUCGCUGGCAGAUGUUAUUGGCUCCUUUUCAAGAUGGAUCUCUGUUUUUCCAAGUAAUGGUAGACCCUUGCUAUUAUUUCUUGCAGGAGGGAUUUCUGAACCCAUUUGUUCACAUGCUUGUGCCUCUGCUCUUCGUAAAAUUUGUGAAGAUGCUCCAGCUGUAGUACAUGAAACAUGUAAUUUAGACAUCUUGAUGCGGAUAGGAGAGGUUUCAGCUUCAGGCACCCCUUUCGAUAACUGUUAAGACAGGCUUCAAGUUACACUGACGUGUAUAUAUAUAUAUAUAUAUAUAUAUAUAUCCUGAAUCAUUAUACUUUUA
Molecule: long non-coding RNA, 1257 nt
Organism: Brassica oleracea var. oleracea
Lineage: Eukaryota; Viridiplantae; Streptophyta; Magnoliopsida; Brassicales; Brassicaceae
Exons: 7
Source: RefSeq, a predicted model, not a curated record